Molecule: microRNA precursor, 72 nt
Organism: Medicago truncatula (barrel medic)
Lineage: Eukaryota; Viridiplantae; Streptophyta; Magnoliopsida; Fabales; Fabaceae
Rfam family: MIR2629 microRNA precursor family
Source: Rfam
UGCCGAGGUUUUCCUCGACAGUUAACUGCCGCCGGUUUCAUUUUUCCUCGGUAGUUAACUGUCGAGGCUUCC